This 454-nucleotide ribosomal RNA is filed under the name uncultured bacterium. Its description in RNAcentral is "partial 16S ribosomal RNA". It matches the Rfam family "Bacterial small subunit ribosomal RNA", at positions 341 to 792 of the family's 1533-position model. The record is from RNAcentral.
ACGGGAGGCAGCAGUGAGGAAUAUUGGUCAAUGGGCGGAAGCCUGAACCAGCCAUGCCGCGUGAAGGAAUAAGGCCCUAUGGGUCGUAAACUUCUUUUGUGCGGGAGCAAUAAGGUCCACGAGUGGAUCGAUGAGAGUACCGUACGAAUAAGCAUCGGCUAACUCCGUGCCAGCAGCCGCGGUAAUACGGAGGAUGCAAGCGUUAUCCGGAUUUAUUGGGUUUAAAGGGUGCGUAGGCGGCUUUUCAAGUCAGAGGUGAAAUACCGGGGCCUAACUCCGGAACUGCCUUUGAUACUGAAGAGCUUGAAUACUGUUGCCGUGGGAGGAAUGAGUAGUGUAGCGGUGAAAUGCAUAGAUAUUACUCAGAACACCGAUUGCGAAGGCAUCUCACGAAUCCGUCAUUGACGCUGAGGCACGAAAGCGUGGGGAUCAAACAGGAUUAGAUACCCUGGUA